This 543-nucleotide ribosomal RNA is filed under the name uncultured bacterium. RNAcentral describes it as "bacterial SSU rRNA". It matches the Rfam family "Bacterial small subunit ribosomal RNA", at positions 230 to 769 of the family's 1533-position model. The record is from RNAcentral.
CAUGCGUGACAUUAGCUGGUUGGUGAGGUAACGGCUCACCAAGGCUACGAUGUCUAGGGGUUCUGAGAGGAUUAUCCCCCACACUGGUACUGAGACACGGACCAGACUCCUACGGGAGGCAGCAGUAAGGAAUAUUGGGCAAUGGACGCAAGUCUGACCCAGCCAUGCCGCGUGAAGGAUGACAGCCCUACGGGUUGUAAACUUCUUUUGUACGGGAAAAAACCCCUGAUCGUGUAUCAGGGCUGAUGGUACCGUAAGAAUAAGCAUCGGCUAACUCCGUGCCAGCAGCCGCGGUAAUACGGAGGAUGCAAGCGUUAUCCGGAUUCAUUGGGUUUAAAGGGUGCGUAGGCGGGAUGAUAAGUCAGUGGUGAAAUCCUACAGCUUAACUGUAGAACUGCCAUUGAUACUGUCAACCUUGAGUACGUUUGAAGUGGGCGGAAUGUGUCAUGUAGCGGUGAAAUGCUUAGAUAUGACACAGAACACCGAUAGCGAAGGCAGCUCACUAAACUGUAACUGACGCUGAGGCACGAAAGCGUGGGGAUC